UGGAACCAGAAGUCCACACUUUUAGGUGACA
Molecule: non-coding RNA, 31 nt
Filed under: Rattus norvegicus (Norway rat)
Lineage: Eukaryota; Metazoa; Chordata; Mammalia; Rodentia; Muridae
Source: RNAcentral